GGGCAGGAGUGUGGGUGGGGAAGUUGGGAUGACUGCGGCCCCUGAGGCCUGGGCAAGGCGGAGGGGCCUGAAAGGUGCUCCCCGCUCUGCCCAAGAUCAAGGCGGAAGAAGCGUAAGCCCGGCGUAGGCCCGGCGUAGGCCCAGCGUAAACCCUUUUAAACCCAGACGGCUGCAGCCCUCCAACCCCGACAGGGUCCCAGCUUGGCUGGGUUCUAGUGAUGGUUCCUUUCUAUCCUAGUUGCCUUUAAACCGCAGUUUUUCUUCGGAGCCCCAGGGCCAGAGAAUCUGCUCCCGGACCCUCUGUCCUGCCGGUCCCCAUGGCCUUUCGCCACGUGGGAAGUGGGGUUCCCCUCAUUACUGGGACCACCUUGCUCGAGCGCUUGUAGAAACAGAGUAGAUAUUGGUGUGUCCAUGGAGGUUGAGUUCAAAGGCUUCCUGGGUCACCCUCUUGGACUGGAAGGUCUAAGUCACUUUGGGAACCACUGCUUUCACUAGAUAUGCUCAGGUCAUGAUCCCAGGGCCAUGUGAUCAAGCCCUGCAUUUA
This is a long non-coding RNA of Suricata suricatta (meerkat), 544 nucleotides long. RefSeq lists it as uncharacterized. The transcript is spliced from 3 exons. Lineage: Eukaryota; Metazoa; Chordata; Mammalia; Carnivora; Herpestidae. The record is from RefSeq and is a predicted model, not a curated record.